This is an RNA transcript of Neomonachus schauinslandi (Hawaiian monk seal), 1328 nucleotides long. It is a transcript of the gene named RWD domain containing 1, with no coding region annotated. NCBI's taxonomy places the organism in Eukaryota, Metazoa, Chordata, Mammalia, Carnivora, Phocidae. The record is from RefSeq and is a predicted model, not a curated record. The transcript is spliced from 8 exons.
CAGUCUAGACCCAUCGAGCGAGGAUGUCGCGCUGAGUGGCUUCUCAGGCUCAGGCCCUGAAAAGCCCAAGAACCGGCCCCAGGUGUCCGUAGCGAAUGCCAGACCGGGUGCCUUUUCCAUCUCAGCAAAUCCCAAGCGGCGGUGGGACCGGCAGCUACUCAGCGCUCCGCUGGCCAGGCCUAACGAGUCGAACGCGGAACUAGAGAGCAGGCGGAGGCCCGUGCGGGGCUGUUGCUCAGCAGGCCCGGCCUGGCUUUGGGCCCCGAGCCUCCCAGCCGGGGACUCUGCGCCUGCGCCCGUCCGGCCGCUGCCCGCUCCCCUGGCGCGGCCGCGGUCCCAGCUGCAGCGCGCCGCCUGGGUGGCUGGGCGGUCCAUGGGCAGCAGCGAGGGCCACGAUGACAGAUUACGGCGAGGAGCAGCGCAACGAGCUGGAGGCUCUGGAGUCCAUUUACCCCGACUCCUUCACAGUAUUAUCAGAAAAUCCACCCAGUUUCACCAUUACUGUGACAUCUGAGGCUGGAGAAAAUGAUGAAACUGUCCAGACUACCCUCAAGUUUACAUACAGUGAAAAAUACCCAGAUGAAGCUCCUCUUUAUGAAAUAUUCUCCCAGGAAAAUCUAGAAGAUAAUGAUGUCUCAGACAUUUUAAAACUAUUAGCAUUACAGGCAGAAGAAAACCUUGGUAUGGUGAUGAUCUUUACUUUAGUGACAGCUGUGCAAGAAAAACUAAAUGAAAUAGUAGAUCAAAUAAAAACUAGAAGAGAAGAAGAAAAGAAACAAAAAGAAAAAGAGGCAGAGGAAGCUGAAAAGCAAUUAUUUCAUGGCACUCCUGUUACAAUUGAGAAUUUCUUAAGUUGGAAGGCCAAGUUUGAUGCAGAGCUCUUGGAAAUUAAAAAGAAACGAAUGAAAGAAGAAGAACAAGCAGGAAAAAAUAAAUUAAGUGGGAAACAGCUCUUUGAAACAGAUCAUAAUCUUGACACAUCUGAUAUCCAGUUUUUGGAAGAUGCUGGAAACAAUGUGGAGGUAGAUGAAUCUCUGUUCCAAGAAAUGGAUGACUUGGAGCUAGAGGAUGAUGAGGAUGAUCCCGAUUAUAAUCCUGCUGACCCAGAGAGUGAUUUGACUGACUAGUGGACUAUCCCCAUCUGCAGAGAGGUGUGACUGCCACAGCAUCUGUGGCUGUGCUGACGUGUAUUGAAAUAGAUUCUACCUUUGUCAUUUUAGAAUCUAGGCAGAACCUGAUGUAUGGAAAUGAAGGCAAAGAGUUAGUUCUAAUGAUACUCCCAAGUAUUUUCAUCCGGAGUAAAUAAUAAUAUUUCUUUUGUUUUCUGG